Molecule: transfer RNA, 67 nt
Filed under: Loxodonta africana (African savanna elephant)
Lineage: Eukaryota; Metazoa; Chordata; Mammalia; Proboscidea; Elephantidae
Rfam family: tRNA
About the family: Transfer RNA (tRNA) molecules are approximately 80 nucleotides in length. Their secondary structure includes four short double-helical elements and three loops (D, anti-codon, and T loops).
Source: Rfam by way of RNAcentral
GGUGGCACAGCGGUUAAGCUCUCGGCUGCCAACCGAAAGGUUGGUGGUUCAAACCCACCUGCCUUUC